Molecule: non-coding RNA, 5763 nt
Organism: Phalacrocorax carbo (great cormorant)
Lineage: Eukaryota; Metazoa; Chordata; Aves; Suliformes; Phalacrocoracidae
Source: RefSeq, a predicted model, not a curated record
CGUUUUGCUGCAGCGACGGGAAGGAAACCUUCAACUCUGGUAGCCCUAACUUCUGCUGGGAACAAAACAGGAGCAGCACAAGGACAGGCUGGCUGUUCCCCUGGCUCCAUGCUGCAGCUGUGUCUGCUGCGAAGACCAGGGGCCUAAUUCUUGCUGCUUACCUUGGAAGGCUGCUGAAGAACUUCACUUCGCAUCCUUGGUGAGGCUGGCUGUUGAGUACGGGUAUGUAUACAGAGCCAGUUGUGUGUAAGCCUGUGCUAAUAUGUACACAGCAGGUAGAAGAGUCUAGACUCCAGGGCAGGAAGGCUGCGGAGUUUGACGGCUAUUAACCUGUCGAGAAGCGCACCUAGCUCCUAGAUCAAAGCCAGAAGAGCCUCUGGCUGGUGAUGCUACCCAGCGUGGCGUACCCAAGCCAAACAAAACCGAGGAAUUCAUCGAGGUUACACAUCCUCCAGCACGCAGCUGAAAGGAAGGGUCUGUAUUUUCUCCCUGGAAACUUUGGAGAAUGUUACCCUCUGGCUUUCAAGAUAAACAGUUGUAGUCACAGCCCAGCUAUUCUGGCAGAUGGACCUGUGCCCCAUAGCGUGUGUGUAUACACACACACGCACACACUCCCCUGUUCCUCUGGCUCCCUUAGGGAAAAGGGAUCUUUGCUCCAAAGCAAGCUGCCCAGGAGCAGGUUCCUCUUGCCAACCAUACCCCCACUUUGCUGUGCCACCAGCCGGGCUUUGGCAGGCCGGGGCCAGCGCUGCCCUGGGUGGGGAGAAGACCAAGGGGUGGAUGAAACAUGAAAAGUGAGUGGCGAGAGGGGCAAAAACGCUCCAUCACCCAGGUUUAAUAGAUAAACUACCCACAUCCAUUUGUAAAGCUGAAAUUAUUUGCCUGAUGGCAUGAAGCAGGGAAGGGUAACGUGGCAUCAGUGGCUGCUGGAUGGAGACACCAGCUUUAGGAUGAGUUCAGGUCAAAAGGAGCCAUCUCCUCCAUGUGCCUUUGCAGUGAGUGUAUGUGCAGGUAACGCUAUUGCUAAAGCAGUUGUGGGUGUGUGCAGCACAGCUGCUCCCUGCGCAGCCUGGCCUGCCUCCCACCAUCCAUGGCACCCCACCCAGCACCCCAUAAACUCCAGCUCAGCACCAGGACGGGGUUUCUCUGCAGAGGCUGCUCACUCUUCACCAUAUGGGUGUUUACCCUCUUCCUUUUAACAAACAUAUUCACUGCCACUUUCAGCACCCCUUGAAUGUCCCAGCGGGCACACGCCCUUCUUAAGGGCACCCCAAAUCUGCCACUUGUUUGGCAGCUCAGAGCUGGUGACAGCCUCAAGUCCCCUCCCAGGGCUGCGUGGGGCUGCCCCCUCCCGAGGAGCAGAACAGCCCUGAACAAUCCCCAUUGUCCCCACGGCCAUUGUUCCCCACCGUCCUCGUCCCCGGCCAGGCUGCAGCUGGCACGGUGCACAGAGGGGCUGAUUGUUUGGGUUGCUGUGCUGCUGAUGACACACCACUUUGGGACAGCUUCUUCCCACGGCAAAGGCCUCCUGAGUCAAGUGCUGCAUUUGCUCCUUUAUUUAUUUGUUUGGUUUCUGCUUUUCCUCUUUGUUUUUUUUUCUUUAUUUUCGCUUGGUUGGAUGAGGCUCUGCUGAGGCUGUGGAAGAAGCCAAGGGAGUGCCGAGGCUGGUCAGCGUGGGCAGCCCAGGUCCUCUCCAACGUGGGGGGGGGGAGUGCCUGGGGUGGACAAAGCCUUGCAGCACACUAAUGCUUAGCCAUGACAAAGCCCUGGGUUGUGUCAGAUGCCUCGGUGGCCUGCCAGCUCACACCUUGUUGCGCUGGGAGGAUGGAAACAGCACAUUGUACCUGCUGGGCAGGAGGCAGGAUUAGCUCUCCAUAAGCUGAACGUCACCAAUGUGAAUUAAUUUGUGCACUGCAAGAUGCAAAGGAAAAGGUUUCUGGUUUGUUUUUUUGUUUUUUUUUUGUUUUUUUCCCCCUAAGCACACUUGGCCUGCCUGCCUCCCCCAGCGUUGGUGGCCGUGACAUUAAGACAGGAGGAACCAUGGCUCAUAGUCUCACGACGGUGGGGGGACGUGCCCUGGGCAGCGCUGGCCCUGCUAGCGCCGUUCAUGGUGCUGGGCUGGGGAGGGCAAGGCUGUGCCCAAAGGGCUUUCAGCAGCUGCAAAGGCUUCGAGGAAUGGUUGUAGUCGGUAAAGUGUGUUCCAGCUUCGGCAUUUCAUAUGGUGCUACGGGAGACCAGGAGGUUUUAAAUGCUUGCGUGGAAAGUUUGAGCACUGCAGUAUUCAUGACGUGUGCAAUAAAAAGGAUUCCCUUUCCCUUCCCUGCUCCUGCCCACCCUCCCGUCUCCCCAAGCCUGUUUAGCAGCUGCUGUGGUGUGCAGCCUUCACACCUUAUGGAAACACAGCGGUGUCAGGGCUCAGGAAGGCCCAUGUUAUUAGGGUGAUAUCUUGAAAAGAACCUGUUUAUUCUGAGCACAUCUGUGCUAUGAGGUGAGCGCCCAAAGAGAGAGCUGGGCUUUGAAGUUCAGCCAGAACCAUGCCCAUAUUUCAGUUCUUUCAUCAAAAAUGCCAGUGAACCUGAAGCAUAAGUCAGUGGUGGUAAGGGGCAGCAGCAGCAAGCUUAGUUACGGGGCUCUUAGGCUUCUUUAAAAAACUAUAUGAGUGAGGGAAGACCUUAUAAAUGGGUAAAGUGGCAGAUAGCAUCUUAAAAGCGGGGAGGGGGUGGCUAGAAGUGACCAUGUUGCUGUUUGGACUAGUUCUUCAUUCACCAUAGGGAAAGCAAUCAAAAAGUUGUGAAUAUCUUUUCAUCUGAAAAAAAAAAUAAUGUCAUGAAAACUGUUUUUAACCACUAACGAUCCUUCCCAGGCCUGGAAGAAGUCAGCCAAAAGAUUCUCAAGACCUUUAAAAGUAUUUUGACACAGUACUGCCUCAUUUGGACUAAAAAAAAAAAAUAUAAGACCCUGGCCCUUUGGCUGCAUUUUCUCAGAGAACGUAGGCCAGUUGAAUGAUGUAGGCAGCUGUUAUUCCAAAUCAGGGCACAGUGAAAAUGUGGGGCCAUCAUAGUGUUGUGGUAGUGUAUGAGCAGCAAAACAGAGAAUUCUGGCCUGGAAACUGCUCGCUUUUAUUCACCUCCCAGGUGUGUGCCUUGGAAACUGAAAAUGUGAAGAAAUGGGAUGAACGAGUCCAGUAAAAGACAGUGGUGGACCGCAAAGUGUCUGUGUGUGAAAGCAAGCGAGCUCAUGGGCACACACCUGUCUGUGCACGCACCUGAAUGUUCAUCUGAUCUUCAGAUGCUGUUGCUUACAUGGAAAGAAGGUUUCUUUUAUACUUGGGAGUAAGUUCCCUUUAUAUUCCAGUCUCUCUACAGUUUUUUUUUAAGCCUCUCUGUCUUUUUGUCCAAAUUAUUCAAAGUUGCUAACAGCCUCAUUUUCCUUUACCACAAUUACCAAUGCCAUACUUGUUUGAGAAGCUGUGGCUUUCAGCUGGGAGAGAACUUUGCCGUAUGAAUUCAGAGCAAUUUCCCUGCCUUUCAUAUAUAAUUAAUGCAGUCAGCUCCUUUUGAUUUAAUGCAGCCAACAGGAACCGCAUCUGGUGGCACAAGCGCCUCGCAGUCACUUCGGCAUGUGGGUCUCUUGGAGAUGCCGCUGGCCCCGUCUGGGUGACUUUGAGCGUGUCAUGAGACCCCCUGGGCUGGUCACCCUACAGCAAGGUGAGCAGCAGUAGUGCUACGGGGCUGAGCGAUCAGAGCUGCUUUCCUUGCAAAGUCUCAGCCAGAUGGAACAUUUGCUGGUGGCCACGAGCCCUGCUGCCAUCUCGCAGGACGCUGCCUUCAGACCUUCUUCAAUGCAUGUAUUGAUUUCUUUUUUUCCCCUCUCCCUCUCUUUAGUGAUUGAUUUCCAGACAGAUGCGUGAACUGGACACAGAAACUGUUGUUUUGACUGUGCAUGUCAAUGGAUUGUGCUUGGGGGGGUGUGCACAUGCUGGGGGGGGGGCAGAGCUGGACAUCGCUCAGCACAUGCAGCCCAGCCCAGCAGGAGCGAGCGGCCCGCUGAACGCUGGCUUUAUGGGUUGCUCCCAUCUUAAGGCCCUUAUUAAUGCUUAAUAGAUAGUUCAACACAGAGCCAAUUGAUUUGUGUAUUGCUAUAGACACAAACCAUUUAAUACAUUGUUUAUGGGCCUUUUUAUCUACAGUAUGUUCUAUUGAUAGGUCUGUCUGUGACGUGCUUAUACCCUAUUAAUAAUGCAUUGACCAUUGACAAGGAUGGUAUAGAAAGCGUGAUAUGCUCUCGCUGGUGCUCUUUAUGUCUCUCCCUGCUCAAGCUAUUGCAGUGGAUUUUGACAGUUAAAAUGCAAAAUAUUUUUUAGUGAGUGUCUUAUGCUAGUGUUAAAAAAAAAAACACCCAAAUUAUUUAUUCUCAUCCUUCAGUCUAUUGCCCUCAAACAUCCCACGGAUUGAGUCGUGUGGAAUUGAGUUAUUGUUCAAUCCAGAGGGUGUUUAGGCACUGUAGUUUUACUGCCACACUUUCAAAGGGUGCCAAGAUGGUACCCACCAGUACAAAGGGAAAUGUGUAACAGGGAAAGCAUAGUUGCAAUUUAACACUCCUGCCCCCAUGCACCCCCUCCUUGCCCUCUGCCCCAGCUCCCAGCCUCCAUGUCUUAUCAGGACUUCCUGGGGAGGUAAAUCAUUAAUGAGUCUGGGGGUUAACUGGGUUAAAAAUGACUGCCUUUAGGAUCAGGGGGUCAAUAAAUGUCAGUGCUAAAUGGCACCUACCCUGAUUGCACGUGCCUCCUCAACGUUUGGAGAUGUCAAUGCUGAAUCAAUUCACAUUUGGAUGCUGAAUCAAUACAGAUUUCUCAGUACAACGGCACAAAGUCCCAUUCCUUGCCUACCACAGCAGGGUCUGAGCAGGCAGCAGGCUGGGUCCUGCGCCCCAGCCCCGGCCCAGGGGUCCCGCCGAGCCGCAACGGUGCGGGGAAAGCAUCGGCAAAGCAGGGCCAGCACGGCUGUGACCAAGGGGAGGCAAAGCCUCAGAGAGAGGAAAAUCUGGAAAGCUCCUUGGCCAGAAUGGGGCCAAAGGACUUUGCCAUUAAUGACUGUCAAUUUAAUUACCCAGGGAAGUGGCCCUUGGCUGGGGGCGGGUGGGCUGCACACGCUGUGCAGGGCUGAGCUCUGCACUGCUGCAGGCUUCGCUGGAGCUGCAGCUCCUCCAGCCCACCCUCCUCUCCACAAACACCUGCCAUGGCAACAAAAAGCCACACUUUUGGUAAUGAAAGGCCAGAAGUUUCUUACUCCCAUUCAGGUUAUGCCACACAUUAGCAAGAACUGACAGCCCUGUUGCUUCAGUCCAGCCCUUUUGUUUUGGACCCGUGCGUUCCCGCGGCCAUGCAUCGCUGCGCCUGCCAGAACGCCGAUAAAGGCUUGCAGAGCCCCAUUCUCCCGCAGGAGAAAGAUGUGCACCUUCGUUGCAGGUGAGGCAGCGCUGAGCAGGGGCCGUGACCAGGAUGGGUUGUGACACCGCGCGUGUGCGUGCGUACACUGGGCGCGGGGCUUUAGCAUCACCAGACGCGCGCGCUCCCUGUGCGUACCUUACCAGGCCUUGGUCUCGCGUGGCAGGACUGCAAGCCCAGCUGUCUCUUGACCACUGGGGACUGUCUUAUCUUCAACUGAAUACCCUAGUCAAGGCAAAUUCCUGCUGGGACUCAUUUUCUGGAUGACCAUGUUCUGCACGUGAUGGAGAGCGUGAGCAGAGACCCUGGACAACUUU